Molecule: transfer RNA, 71 nt
Filed under: Stegodyphus mimosarum
Lineage: Eukaryota; Metazoa; Arthropoda; Arachnida; Araneae; Eresidae
Rfam family: tRNA
About the family: Transfer RNA (tRNA) molecules are approximately 80 nucleotides in length.
Source: Rfam by way of RNAcentral
GCCUUCGUGGUGUAACAGUAGAACACUCGACGUUUAUUCGAGAAAUCCAGGUUCGAGUCCCAGCGAGGACA